UAGGGAAGGGGAGGGGCGGCAGGGCCGGUCUCCGGGGACACCCCCCACCCGGGUCUGCGCCCUCCUCCCGCCAGGCCUGCGAAAUGCGCGCCUCGCCGUCAGAUGCAGCCCUGGGGUCAGGUAGCCCUGGCUCUGUGCGCGCGUCCCUUCCUGUUCCAGCAGGCGCCACCCCUCCCCCAGCCUCCUCUCGCGGGCUCCCAGCCUCAGUUUCCUCAUCUGUUAAGCAGCGAUUACUCCUAUCUACAUUACAGGGUUGUUACGAUUAAAAUAGAAUAAUCAUGUAAUGUGCCCUUGCUCUAUAAAUGGGGUCCUCUGUCCUCCCUGCCCCCUGCCUCCUCAGUCAGGCCUGGGAUCAGCGAGGCCUUCCCGUGUCCCUGUGCUGUCCCCCUCGGCCUGGAACUGGAGCUGCGGGUGCAUCAGCACCCUUGCCAGGGCCCUUUCCUCUCCUCCCUCCCCCUCAGGGUUACCUUGGAACGUGCCUCCUACAAGAGGAUGGUCCAACUUGUUGUCCGAACCUGCGGGAAUCCCAGGCUGAGGUCCAACAGUAUUCACGGAGGGCGCAGCCUGGCUGGAGUUCUAGAAGUCAGCCCUGGGUACUCCAGAGAGCCUGGCAGAGCCAGAGGUCGGCCCAGAGUCCUUAGCUGCGGGUGAAGGGCGCGUGGGCAGAGAGACGGGCUGCGGGCCCUGGUGGAGGAGGGUUUCGCGGGACCUGAGGACCUGGCCUUCAGCUCUCAGGGAGCAUCUGGAGGUUUCCCCCGUCCCGCCUCCUCUCUGACGGUGGCAAAAAUGCAGAGGAAAGCCCACGUCCCGUCCCCAGCGGCCCCAGCCUGGUGGUUGGGAUUCAACGUGGACAUCCGAGGGACGGAGGCUGCUGUAUGCCCGUGUCCCCCUCGCUGUCAGGAACCCCGGGCUUUGCAAAGAGCUGGCUGCCGGGCAUCCCCUGACUUUUCCCUGGGUAACAUUGCCAAGGGACUGUGGUGCUGGCCAGACUUCCCACGCCCGGCCCUGUGGCUCUACCCCCCUCUGUCUCUUGCCCAUGGAGGCUCGGAAUAAGCUUUCUAGAGGAUGCUCUUUCUUGUGUGAGGGGUCAUCUGAGGUCGCCGAGACGGAGCUCUUCACCAGAGAAAUGCAGGAACAUCUCUGCAGCUAAAUGAGGCAAUGUCUGUGGGGGACUCGGCCUUGCCAGGCAGGCUCCAGACGCAUGCUCCCUCCCUGAGAGACGUUGCCCUUGGCCGUGCAGCCCUUGGCCAGGCCAACCACUGGGCUCUAUCCCUGGGUGCCUUUUCAGGCUGUCCUUUGCUCAAGGUGUCCUUAACAGAGCCUAAAGGGACAUUCCGCUUCUCCCUAUGCCCAAGAGCAGAGAAGGACACAUUUCUCAGGCUCUUCCUGAAAGAUUCAAGGAAAGAAAAAAACGUUCUUGAUCUGAGGUCCUGCAGAACCAACCCCCCAGAACUGGCUUGAGUGGCGUCUCCAAAAUUCAUGUCCGCGUGGACCUUGUGCAUGUGACCUAAUUCGGAAAUCGGGUCUUUGCAGAUGUAAUUAGUUACGAUGAGGUCAUACUGGAUGAGUUUGGGCCCCCAUCCAAUGGCUGGUGUCCUUAUAAGAACAGAGUUGGACACAGACACACAGAGAAGAAGGCCGCGUGAAGACAGAGGCAGGGACUGGAGUGACGCAUCCACCGGCCAAGGAUUGGCAAGGACCUGCCGGAGGCCACCGAAGCUGAGAAGCACAAGGAAGAAUCCCGCCCCAACCCCCCCCCCCCCGGAGACUUCAGAGGGAGUGCAGUCCCAUGGACACCUUGAUUUUGGACUUGCGACCUCCAGAACCGCAAGGAAGUCUGGACGUGUUGUUUUAAACCUCCCAGUGCGUGGUCCUUUGAUAUGGCGACUCCAGGAAAGUUGGACAACCACCGAACGUCAAACAGAGGGCAGCUGAGGAAAACAAGAAGGAAACAGAGCAGGCGCACAAAGCAAAAGCUGGAAGAGACCAAGGAGGAGACGGAAAGAAGCGCUCCCUCCGUGUCGUCCUCUCUGCGGGGACAGGAAACCACCACGGAACCGGUGGCCCUGUGAGCAGGAGUGUGUGGGGCUGGAUGUUGGGUGAACGGGAGGUGUUCGAGACCUUGCUGGUCCCAGGGAGCCCCUGCUAGUAAUAAUAAAGCUUUGACUUGGUCCCGUAUCAACCUUAGGACUCCCAGAGCAGGCUUUGUUGAGAUCCCCCACGGAGAGAUGAGGAACCCAGGCAAGGCCAUUAGGUGCUGGCCCACGGCCGUUUUCCAGGAAGCAGUGAAGGGGCACACACCCAGCUUCCCUGCCCAACAGCCAGUGCUCUGCCCUCUACCAGUCCGGGAGUGGGGGGUGGGGCAGCUCCCAUGCCAGUAUCCAGUGCCUGAGUGGCGUCGGCAGGUGCUGGCCCUGGUCAGGGACCCCAGCUCUGUUCCUGGCGAGCUGUGUGAUUUGGGACAAGUCACGGCACCCCCUAUUUGGCCGUUCCCUCCACGGGAAAACGGGGGACAAUAAUAGGGCCUAAGCCAUAAGAGUUCCUGGAGAAUUAAAUGUUCAUAUAUUUCAAGUGCUGAGACCAGAGCUCGGCGCACUGGAAACUUGAAGGUGUUUGUGAAAUGAAUAAAAGACGCUGAUGGGCGUA
Leopardus geoffroyi (Geoffroy's cat) is the source of this 2646-nucleotide long non-coding RNA. RefSeq lists it as uncharacterized. The record is from RefSeq and is a predicted model, not a curated record. The transcript is spliced from 2 exons. NCBI's taxonomy places the organism in Eukaryota, Metazoa, Chordata, Mammalia, Carnivora, Felidae.